GAACUCUUCAAUUUGGAGGUAAAAUCACGGUAACGUCUAGAUUCUACACACUUGGUAAAGCCGGAAACGUAAAUAUACGUCAACAUUCAUGCAUUUGUUCAUGAAACAUACACAGGAACUGCUAUUAGUUGAUUAAAAAUAUUUGAGUUGUCACUAAAUAUAGUCGUAUAUUUAGUGCGGUAAAGACUUGUUGCACAAUAAACACGUAGCAAUUGUUUACAAACACUUUCUACAUUUACACGUGAUCAUGUUAUAAGCGCUUUUUGAUUGGAUGCAGCGAGC
Molecule: long non-coding RNA, 282 nt
Filed under: Mytilus galloprovincialis (Mediterranean mussel)
Lineage: Eukaryota; Metazoa; Mollusca; Bivalvia; Mytilida; Mytilidae
Source: RNAcentral